This 1499-nucleotide long non-coding RNA is filed under the name Nicotiana benthamiana. RNAcentral describes it as "long non-coding RNA (NBEN_LNC024952)". The record is from RNAcentral. Lineage: Eukaryota; Viridiplantae; Streptophyta; Magnoliopsida; Solanales; Solanaceae.
AUGGAGAAUUUGAUUGAACAAGAUGUAGAAUAUUCUGCUCAGACCGGUGAGUUUCAACUAAAUGAAGAUCUCUGUCCAGCUUCCCUUCCAGUGCAGCGUUCUGAAGAUGCUGCUUUUUUUAAGAAUGAUUCCUCCCUGCUUACUCAAAACCAGAAAUUGGUUCAUAAUGAAGGUGCAGAUCAGGCUCUUCUUUCUGACUCAUCUGCAAGCUCUUGCUGUAGUUCUUCUGAUAUAUCUGUCAAGGAAGGAUUUGAUUCUUCAUCAUUAUCACCAGAAUUUGAUUUAGAAUCAUACAGCUCAUCUCCUGAUGGGCACCGAAAAUUGGCCUUAAGUGGGGCACAAAUGACAUUGGAAGGCAACUAUUUGGACAUGGGGACCAAAUCGCCAAGCAAGAACCAAAGUGCCCAUAGAGAAGGUAGGGAAUAUGAAAUGGUGCUGAACAGUAUCCUGGAUCAUGAACAUGAGACCAGUGUUUCAAGCAAAAGAAUCCAUUUCUCAGAAGAAGAGCUACAGGGGUUGAAAUAUGAGCUUGAGAGAAAUGAAUCAGUUGCCAAGCUGAUAGUUUUCCUGAAAGUGCAGCUUGGUUCAGCAGAAAGUGAGGUUGAGAUGCUAUGGGAUGAUCUCAAGAUCCAAGAACUACAAAAGCAAGUAGCUCUGCUGGAAAGUCAGAUAUCAAACUCUGAUUACAAGAUUGAGGAAUUGGCGAGUGAGUUGGAAAUGACUAGAGAUAAGCUUGAGGCGUCAGAGGAAGAAGUUGCCAGGUUAAAGGAUGACUGUUCAAAAGUGAUCACCGAGAACACUUGCUAUUUGGCUGAUCAGCUUGAAUCAACUCAGGAAGAGUUAAUCUUGCUGAAGGCCAAGCUUGAUUCUGAGGAAAGGCAUACCUUGGAACUACAAGAGAGCAUUAUGAGGAACAAAGCUGACAUAUCAGACCGUGACCAAGAGAUCAGGAGAAUCAGUGCUGUACUAGAGGACGCCCAAGAAAGCUUCUGCGUGCAGAAAGAGCAGUUCCAGUCUCAAAUAACUAGUUUGUCAGAACAGCAGACCCUGCUAGAGGCAAAGACCGAACAGUUAGAGAUGCAAAACAGAUCAUUAGAACGUAAGGCAAGACAAUGUGAAGCUGAGAAGAUUGAAAUGAAAACUUUGCAUGAAGUACAAGAAAUCAAAUGGAAGGCUGAAACUGAAUGCUUGAAAAUGGAGAUAAAUAAGAAUGGUGAAGAAGUCCAUGGUUUGAAUAAAGAUCUCGACAAGCUUAAACUGGAGUAUGACACACUAAUGACAAAGAAAGAUGAGGUUAAUGCUAAGGUACAGAAACUUGGUGCAAAAGUGAUGUCAAGGGACAUUCAAAUCCAAGAAAUGAAGGAUCACCUGAAGCAGCUUAUUGCAGGAUCUGAAAGUGCACAGAGAUCAAUAGAGGAAUUAAGGCUAAGAGUGGAGGAGUUGCAGAAGGAAGUGGAGAGACAAACAUUGGUAAUCUCAGAUAGAGCUGAGGAGAAAAG